RNAcentral lists this ribosomal RNA (253 nucleotides) under uncultured bacterium. Its description in RNAcentral is "partial 16S ribosomal RNA". It matches the Rfam family "Bacterial small subunit ribosomal RNA", at positions 524 to 776 of the family's 1533-position model. The record is from RNAcentral.
GACAGAGGUGCCAAGCGUUAGGCGGAAUCACUGGGCUUAAAGCGUGUGUAGGUGGAUUUGUAAGUACCUUGUGAAAUCCCAUGGCUCAACCAUGGAACUGCUCGGUAUACUGCGAAUCUUGAGCCACUUAGGGGCUACCGGAACAAAUGGUGGAGCGGUGAAAUGCGUAGAUAUCAUUUGGAACGCCAAUGGUGAAAACAGGUAGCUGGGAGUGUGCUGACACUGAGACACGAAGGCCAGGGGAGCGAACGGG